AUAUCUGGUGAUAACAAGAAAUGCGGCACAGAAUUCAGAAUUGCAAGCUAAGAGUUAUAGCCAUCUAAACCACACUUCAUUGGCAUGUAGUUAUGAAAUUUUUGGAUUGGUUUACACAAUUGUUUUUCACUACAAACAGGUCAUUGAAAACCAACUGCAUUACUUACUCAAAUGUAAAUGAAUUAAUGGGACAUGAAUUACAAAGCGUAUAAGUAUCAACCCACACAAGAGAAGAAUGAGAGAAUCGCAGAUCAUUUACUCACACAUAAGGAUAGCAGGAAUUGACUUAUAAUCAUUGCAUGUUACAAGAUUCCAAAGCAUUACACAGCUAUCAAAAUUUUAAUUAGAGAACUAAUCAGAAAUUAAAUAAAAAAAAUGAAAAAAAGUAUGAGCUUAAGUUUAA
This 403-nucleotide unclassified non-coding RNA is filed under the name Hevea brasiliensis (rubber tree). Lineage: Eukaryota; Viridiplantae; Streptophyta; Magnoliopsida; Malpighiales; Euphorbiaceae. The record is from RNAcentral.